Molecule: long non-coding RNA, 2733 nt
Organism: Gopherus evgoodei (Goodes thornscrub tortoise)
Lineage: Eukaryota; Metazoa; Chordata; Testudines; Testudinidae
Exons: 3
Source: RefSeq, a predicted model, not a curated record
CUCUGGUGAUCUUAGCUGAGACCCCAGUGGACUGUGUGGGGGAAGUAGGAGGAAAUUCGUAUGGCACAUGUUGUCUGUGGUGACACGUUUACUGCAGUGGCUGAGUAUUUAUCAAGAACUGGAGCCAGGAGCAUAUCUAGCAGAAUGGAGGGGAGGGCAGGCAAUAGCAGAAAAUCUGGGAGGCAGCAACAGGAGAGAAGAAUAUGUAAGGAGGCUGGAGAGAGCCAGAGAAGACGGAAGGAGAGAUCCCUGCCUGCAGACGCCCCUGGAAGGAAAAUGAAUAAAGUGUCAGUGUGAUUUUAGUACUAAUAAAAGAUGCCAGGCUGAAAGCAUUGGAGACUAAAGGUAUCUGUAUAUACACACAGAGAACAGGGAUCUGAGACAGGUGCCUGAGCCAUAACCAGAAGAGACAACCUCUACAGGUGAGUAGGGAGUUUGCACUAUAUGGCCCGUGCAGCCCUUGGUCUCAAAGCUGAGAAUGCCAGGAAGAACAUCCUUCGAUGCCAGUUAAGGGGGUGGUAUUUGUGACGUGGAUGCCUGUCAAGUGGGACCCGGGCUGAGCACCAAACUCAUUUCAUACAGGCCAGUUAACAGCCAUUGGAUGGUAAUAACUUUUAGCUACAACUGACCUGGCCUGGAUUGGAACCAGUGACUGGCUCUCCCUCUCAUUAGUAAGCAUGGCUAUUUAUCUCAGGUGACAACAGUCACAGAUGCCACAGUAACCACCAGAGAUAGCGGCUCCUAACCUCUGGCACAGAGCCAGGGUGUUUGUCAUAGGGGUCGGUGCCCACUGACUCCAGCGGUUAUUAUUGCAAUGGAUUCCAAGACCCCCUCUUCCCCACGCCUAGGACUUCUGGCUACACUUUCUCCUCCAGAGAAGCUGAAGAUGCAGGCCAGGCCCUCACCAAUGAGGCUUAAGAGCUUUUGCUAUGACUGAUUUUCUUCUGUUCCUGGUCCUUUAACAUAUUUUUUUGGCAGGGGGAAGGGGCUUGCAUGAUAUAACAGGACAUGAGACUUUAGAAAAAUUUGUCGCUCACAUUUUUUGCCAAGACUUACCACAUUUUUCCCCCAUGACUGCCAGGGAACUCUACUGUCCAUCACCUGAGCCAUCCAGCCCCGACUCAUAAAUCACCAAAUCUCCAGUGGGAUAUGUUUAGUCAAGCACACUUCGGGUUUUUAUUUCAAUAUAUGGUGUAAAAUGUUUGAGACCAACUCAGUGCUGAGGAUCUGCUUUCUGCAAGAGGGGAAACUCAGCAGAUUCUGACAUCAGAGUCAGAGCAGGACUGUGCUGACUCAGCCAAAACCAAGAAAGAAUUUUGCUUAUUUUCCCAACAUUCAAACUAAACUGCUUCUCCCACACACUGCAAAAAUGUAAAGGUUUGUCUAGACAAGAUAAAUUUGCAUCUGUGUAAUUACAUCAGUGUAGUCAUACUGAUACAAACCCCAGUGCAGAGACAAAUCAGGCUUACGCUAGUGCAGCCGUUCUCAAACUGUGGGCUGACCUCAAAGUGGGUCGCAACCCUGUUUUAAUGGGGUCGCCAGGGCUGGCUUAGACUUGCUGGGGCCAGGGGCCAAAGCCUGAGCCCCAAUGUCUGGGGCCGAAGCUGAAGGGCUUCAGCUUUGGGCAGUGGGGCUGAGAUUACAGGCCCCCUGUCUGUGGCUGAAGCCCUUGGGCUUCAGCUUUUAUUAUCCCCCCGGGGCAGUGGGGCUUUGCCCCUGCUACCACACCUCCCCCAGGGUGGCAGGGAUUGGGCGGGCUCAGGCUUCGGUCCCCACUCCUGGGGUCAUGUAGUAAGUUAUUUUGCUAUUGCAUCUUAGCACAGUGUGGGCUAUAUACCUGGAGGGGGUGGGGGGAAGGAAGCGUUGCAGAAGGCUGCAAUUCAUAUUGUCUGAAUUUACACUAGAAAUCCCUUUUGUAUGGCCAAUUUUCAAUUGUUUAUUGCUUUAGCAUUUAUAAUUUACAGCUGUGAUAUUUUACUCCAUACUGAGACUUUGCCUAUUGGGUUUCAGAGCAAUUAAUAAACUGCUUUAUAGCUUAGUAGCUUUAUAGCUUAGUAAUUAAGUGGGUUAUCAAAGAGCAAGUUCUGAUGGCAACACUAGCUUGCAGCAGCCCACAUAUUUAUGAAACAAAGAUUUCCCAGGAAAAUGGUAAUUUACCAUUUUUCUGUCUGUCGUAUCUGAUCAAAGUCUGCUGUUCUCUGGUCUUUAGAGGCCAGGAGAGGGGGCACAGACCUCAGGCUAUUUAAUACCCUGUCCCAACUCAAUAGUGAAAACUUUUUAAAAUGUCAGAUGGCCUAUUUUAAAAUUAUAACCCUAAGAGUCAGAGAGAAAAAGAAAAGCAUAAAAACACCAGAGUGGGGAUUUCCCCAUCCAUUCACCACACCACAAACUCGUGAAGAUCUAUUAGGGACUGCCAGUUUCCAAAGCCAUGGAAAUGACCUGGGCUAAUACAGGAAACACACAACUGAGUUACAAAACCCAUUACACAGUGUAUUGAAACAAACGUGUUAUUCGGCUGCACGUAAAAGUGCGGAGUUCCAACACGCCCCAGCCAGCCAGGGCUAGGACUAUGGAGGAAGAUGACUGCACCACUGAGGUAUCCUCUAAGACAGUGGUUCUCAAACUCUUUUUUCCACAGACCACUUGAAAAUUGCUGAGGGUCUCAGUGGACCACUUUAAUGAUCUUUCCAAAUGCUCUUUGUACCGUUAGCUUUGGAUAAAAACACUACAUAA